This 468-nucleotide ribosomal RNA is filed under the name uncultured bacterium. RNAcentral describes it as "partial 16S ribosomal RNA". It matches the Rfam family "Bacterial small subunit ribosomal RNA", at positions 28 to 507 of the family's 1533-position model. The record is from RNAcentral.
GACGAACGCUGGCGGCGUGCUUAACACAUGCAAGUCGAACGGAAAUGCCCUGCUUUUGUGGGGUGCUCGAGUGGCGAACGGGUGAGUAACACGUGAGUAACCUGCCCUUGACUUUGGUAUAACUUCAGGAAACUGGGGCUAAUACCGGAUAGGAGCUCCUGCUGCAUGGUGGGGGUUGGAAAGUUUCGGCGGUUGGGGAUGGACUCGCGGCUUAUCAGCUUGUUGGUGGGGUAGUGGCUUACCAAGGCUUUGACGGGUAGCCGGCCUGAGAGGGUGACCGGCCACAUUGGGACUGAGAUACGGCCCAGACUCCUACGGGAGGAAGCAGUGGAGAAUAUUGCACAAUGGGCGGAAGCCUGAUGCAGCAACGCCGCGUGCGGGAUGACGGCCUUCGGGUUGUAAACCGCUUUCGCCUGUGACGAAGCGUGAGUGACGGUAAUGGGUAAAGAAGCACCGGCUAACUACGUG